AAACAGAUGCUAAUACCGCAUAACCAUUCAGACCACAUGGUCUGAAUGUAAAAGACGGCCUUUGGCUGUCACUUUUGGACGGACCCGCGGCGUAUUAGUUAGUUGGUAAGGUAACGGCUUACCAAGACAAUGAUACGUAGCCGACCUGAGAGGGUAAUCGGCCACAUUGGGACUGAGACACGGCCCAAACUCCUACGGGAGGCAGCAGUAGGGAAUCUUCCACAAUGGACGAAAGUCUGAUGGAGCAACGCCGCGUGAGUGAAGAAGGUUUUAGGAUCGUAAAACUCUGUUGUUGGAGAAGAACAGGGACUAGAGUAACUGUUAGUCCUUUGACGGUAUCCAACCAGAAAGCCACGGCUAACUACGUGCCAGCAGCCGCGGUAAUACGUAGGUGGCAAGCGUUGUCCGGAUUUAUUGGGCGUAAAGCGAGCGCAGGCGGUUUUUUAAGUCUGAUGUGAAAGCCUUCGGCUUAACCGAAGAAGUGCAUUAGAAACUGGGAAACUUGAGUGCAGAAGAGGACAGUGGAACUCCAUGUGUAGCGGUGAAAUGCGUAGAUAUAUGGAAGAACACCAGUGGCGAAGGCGGCUGUCUGGUCUGUAACUGACGCUGAGGCUCGAAAGUAUGGGGAGCGAACAGGAUUAGAUACCCUGGUAGUCCAUACCGUAAACGAUGAAUGCUAAGUGUUGGAGGGUUUCCGCCCUUCAGUGCUGCAGCUAACGCAUUAAGCAUUCCGCCUGGGGAGUACGACCGCAAGGUUGAAACUCAAAGGAAUUGACGGGGGCCCGCACAAGCGGUGGAGCAUGUGGUUUAAUUCGAAGC
Molecule: ribosomal RNA, 819 nt
Filed under: Loigolactobacillus coryniformis
Lineage: Bacteria; Bacillati; Bacillota; Bacilli; Lactobacillales; Lactobacillaceae
Description: bacterial SSU rRNA
Rfam family: Bacterial small subunit ribosomal RNA
Source: RNAcentral